GAAAUUUGCCCAUACUUCAGUUCUUAUUAAAGGAACUCUACAUAAUGUACUUGUAUUCCAACAACGUGACCCGUUUCUGUCCCCUGAUACAAGGUAAACACGUGCAAGUCAAAUAUAGACAAACAUUUUAUUGCUGAUUGAGUCUUAACUACAAAAACACUGAAUAUUAAUAUUUAUUUGUUAUACUUUGGUGUUUUGGUUUUCAAGACCGAGCCUCUCAUGAGUGUCAUUUGCGUUGCCAAUUUCAAAGCUGAAAUCCAGUAUGUUUAACCCUAAAAGACCCGACUCUGAUCUGAAUCCUCACUACAUGAACCCCAGCCAAUCAUGAAUCAGUGCUAGUGCAGCCUCUACGGGUGUAAUGAUAUCCAAGUCUAACAAUAUGAUAUCAUCACAGUAUGAACCUCACGGAACGAUAUUUAUUGCGAUAUCGUGGGGAAGCUCAUGAUUAGGGAUAUAACAAUAUCCAAAUCUCUCUGUACGAUAUUUUCACGAUAUACAUCUCAUAGUACGGUAUUUAUUUCGAUAUUUUAUGGACUAACAAACAGAACUGUCUAACAAAACUGUUAAUAUACUACUUUUUCCUUUUAAAAUGUCUUGACAAGACUUAAUCCAAAGAACAAAGACUUAAAAGUGCUUAGACCUGUUAUUUGUUCUUAUAGUCUACACUGAAAUGAAGCAAAGAAUCAUGGUCUAUGUAGUUCUCUCUGUCUUUUUUUAGCUACUGCUGCACCAUAACUCUUAAUUUAAGCAAAGAGACUUGUAAUUCGAUAUGUUGUGAUGGUCCACGAUAUUAUUGUGAGAACUUUGACGAUACGAUAUCAUAAUAUUUCAGUUAUUGUUACAUCCCUAGCAGCGUCUGCAGCUCAGUGAGCGCGGGAUAUAUACAGUUCCUUGUAUUGACUUUUCUACCUUUAUGUCUUAAUUGCCUUCAUUUUUAAAAAGCAAUAUAUGUUGCAAAAAACUGUCAGAAAAUUGUAAGUAUAAAGUAAAUGUUGAUAAGUUGGUGCCUUCAUGAAAACACUGUGCCAUGUACAGUGCAGUACUUUAAAAAAAAUCUGAAAAGGUCAAGGUUUCUUCCUUAAAAUCAAGUCACAGUUUUCAUUAACCCUGAUAAGCAGCGAAUUCUACAAUACCACCAUGCUCAGUUUCAAUCUCCCACCGUUAGAAUUUAGAAGACUUUGAAUGUGAGUUAUUUGCCCCUGGAUCAUGUUUCCCUUCUGUACAUAGAAGCGCACACCUUUUUUUUACUGAACUGAUCCAACCUGUAGCACAGCAGCUACCAGGGGAAUGAUAUAGAUUACCAACAGGACAGGCUUUCGGUGCCCCCGCUGCUUUUGGUUCUGGCAUGAUUUCUCUAUCUAAGGUGCAUAUUCAAUGUGAAGUAAAUGUUGUUAAAAGCCUCAAAUCAAAGAUAGAAAUUACAGUAGAAAUCUAACAUGAACUUCCUCACUCAUCUUUCUGAACCCGCCUCUCCUCCUGCCUCGUCUCUGAAACCCCCAGUCAGUGUUGGGGAGUAACAGAUUACAUGUACCAGAGUUACGUAAUCAGAGUACAAUUUAUGAGUAACUGUAUUCAGUUACAGUUACUGUUUCAGUGAGUGGUAAAUGGAUUACAGUUACUUUAUUGAAAUAAAUGGAUUACAUGGCGGUAUUUUCCUGUUUUCACAUUUGGGCUAUAUCCCCCUUUUUUUUUCCGGUAAUUCCACUCAUUGCCGGACACUAAACCAGGUCUAAACUAGGUCUAAACCAAGACUAAACCAGGACUAUAACCAGGUCCAAACCAGGUCUAAACCAGGACUAAAGCCAGGUCUAAACUGGGACUAAACUAGGACUAAACCAGGACUAUAACCAGGUCCAAACCAGGUCUAAACCAGGACUAAAACCAGGACUAAAACCAGGUCUAAACUGGGACUAAACUAGGACUAAACCAGGACUAUAACCAGGUCUAAACCAGGUCUAAAACAGGAUUUAACAGGACUAAAUCAUGCUGCAUGGACCAUGUCUCCUCCUCUUCUAUUAAUAAUAUUUUAAAUAUGGUUAAGUAAAGUCUGGACUUUUUUAUUGUCUUGACAAAACAUCGUAUGUGAAGAUUUCCUCGUCUUUGCUUCUCUACAGCAAAUCAAGUAAUCCAAAGUAUUCAGAUUAUUUUACUCACUUUAAGUAAUUUAAUGGAUUACGUUACAAACUACAUUUUGGGGUAUGUAAUCUGUAAUCUGUAGGGGAAUACAUUUUAAAUGUCACCUUCCCAACACUGCCCCCAGUGCACAAAUUUCUCUAUAUUUGGACCAAACUGCUUACUUCCACAUCUAGCUGUCUUUUUAUAGAUGACGAACUUGAAACUUGUGUACAUAACCUGAUUGUACGUACGCACGCUUUAUAAAUGAGACCUCAGACCUGUAACUGUAACCUGGCAGCUCUCCCUCCUCGUGGAGAUGAGCAGGUAAUGGACUGUGGAACAUUCCGGGCAGAGCAAUUACAUCUCCCAGAGAGACAAGCAGCUAAAGUACCCACCGCUAGAGAAAAGCACCGUAUAAUUUAUAACGGCCCAUCCUGUAAAUAACCAGGGAGGAAUACGCUGAAGUCUAUUUCAGUGCAUGUCUGCCUGUCUAAGUCAUAUGUCCUACCCUGAUAAUUGAUCUGAGUGUUUCUCAAAUCUCUGCACAGAAAAGUAGGACAUAACCAGGAGGAAUGUAUCAUGUAGUACUAAUAAUAAUCCAUUAGUCUCGUAUAGAGCUUUUCCAGACGUUCAAAGUGGUGAAUUUGUGGUAACGACUGGCACCGAGUUUGGAAGUUCACAGUUUUCAAGAUUUAAAAAGAAAAAGUACUGCGCUGUGUAAUGUACAGGGUAUUUCAAAUGCAUCAAGCUAUUCACAUUUACUUUAUACUUGCAUAAAUGUUUGCUUUUAUUUUCUACAAUCGACAUUUCUAAGCCGCCGGUCAACGUUAAGCAGAAACUAUUUACGAUUGUUUCUCUUCAGACUCUGCUCUCUCUGCGCCUCAUUAAUGGACUAUAAAGCUACAACACAGCGAUACACAAAUGCAGUUUUUGAAUCAUAAUGAGACAAUGGUUGAAUCAUUCACAUCAAACUAAAAAACACAAACAAUACUGAUGUAAAAAUACAUUUGUACUGUAAUUACUGUGCGGCUUGAUUCGCUGCCAGCCGUUUAGCUGCAGAAAUCCACUUCUUAUGUCAAUUUGGAGAUUUGUACAUCCAGUAAAAGGCUCACCAGUGUUUCCAAAAAAGUUUCCCAAGCUUUUUUCUGGGGACACAUAAUUUUAAAAGUUUCAAACAUUUGCGACCCAAAUCAAUAGACAUUAUUCGUAUAUCACAAAAUAAAGGUGGACUUGACCAUUAUUGAACAUUAAUGAGGAUAUUUUAUUGUUGACUGAGUGAUCGUGUGUCUCUGAACAAUUAGUAUUACUCAAGUUUUAAACAAUGAAAAACAGUCAUUGAAGCAGCACUAAAAGGAUCCAUCCGCCUAUUUGGACAUUAAACGUAGCCCAUUUCUUUUUCUUUUCAACUUUCAAUUGGACCAGCAAUACUGGAACAAAAUAGUCAAUAAAAUAAUUACAAAAAAGAUUAGAAAUUAUCCAAAACAUGUCUGAACAUUUCAGUAUUUCUAACGAGGUAAGUGGGCCUGUCCGUGUUUUUGUAGCAUGUUCCAGUCCGGGUGCAGGAGCAGAUCAGUGUCAGGACUGUAUAUUGCAGACCUACAUGCAGAU
Molecule: long non-coding RNA, 3723 nt
Organism: Boleophthalmus pectinirostris (great blue-spotted mudskipper)
Lineage: Eukaryota; Metazoa; Chordata; Actinopteri; Gobiiformes; Gobiidae
Exons: 3
Source: RefSeq, a predicted model, not a curated record